UCAAAGAUAAGCCAUGCAUGUGUCAGUACAAACUAAACCCAAAGUGAAACCGCAAAUGGCUCAUUAAAUCAGCUAUGAUUCAUUGGAUCUGUACACCCAGUUUUCCUUGGAUAACUGUGGUAAUUCUAGAGCUAAUACAUGCACAUAUAGUCCCUAACCUCACGGGAAGGGCGCUUUUAUUAGUAUCAAAACCGGUCUGGCUUCGGUCUGUAAAACCAGUUGUGAUGACUCUGGAUAAUUUAAGCUGAGCGCACGGUCUUUGCACUGGCGCCGCUUCUUUCAAGUGUCUGCCUUAUCAGCUGUCGAUUGUAGGUUAUGUGCCUACAAUGGCUAUAACGGGUAACGGGGAAUCAGGGUUCGAUUCCGGAGAGGGAGCCUGAGAAACGGCUACCACAUCCAAGGAAGGCAGCAGGCACGCAAAUUACCCACUCCCAGCUUGGGGAGGUAGUGACGAAAAAUAACGAUGCGAGACUCAUCCGAGGCCUCGCAAUCGGAAUGAGUACACUUUAAAUCCUUUAACGAGGAUCAAUUGGAGGGCAAGUCUGGUGCCAGCAGCCGCGGUAAUUCCAGCUCCAAUAGCGUAUAUUAAAGUUGUUGCGGUUAAAAAGCUCGUAGUUGGAUUCCAGGAUUGGACUGUAGGUUCGCCGUGAGGCGUUUAAAACCUAUCAGCUUCCGAAACCUGCUAUCACAACAACUUUGUGUAUGCCCACACUAGCUCACACGGGGUGUUCUUAAUUGAGUGCCCCGCGUGGCUGGUAUGUUUACUUUGAAAAAAUUAGAGUGCUCAAAGCAGGCCAACUGAAUGGCCUGAAUGUCUAUGCAUGGAAUAAUGUAAAAGGACCUCGGUUCUAUUUUAUCCGGGCUUUUUGUGGAACCCGAGGUAAUGAUUAAUGGAGAUGAAUGGGGGCUAUUAGUACUGCGACGCU
This 926-nucleotide ribosomal RNA is filed under the name Trapezionida agave. Its description in RNAcentral is "SSU rRNA". It matches the Rfam family "Eukaryotic small subunit ribosomal RNA", at positions 37 to 906 of the family's 1831-position model. The record is from RNAcentral. Lineage: Eukaryota; Metazoa; Arthropoda; Malacostraca; Decapoda; Munididae.